Long non-coding RNA from Podarcis raffonei (Aeolian wall lizard), 518 nucleotides. RefSeq lists it as uncharacterized. Lineage: Eukaryota; Metazoa; Chordata; Lepidosauria; Squamata; Lacertidae. The record is from RefSeq and is a predicted model, not a curated record. The transcript has 2 exons.
GCAUUUUUGGGUUGCGCUCUGCGGUGACCCGGAAGUAACAGAACGCGUUACUUCCGGGUUUUGCCGCAUGCGCAGAUGCUCAAAAUGACCUGUUCGCAUCCAGAGGUACCACUGUAUUUUUUUUUAUUUUAACCUGUAUACUAAGCUUGUGACAUGCCUUCUCUCCCCCCCCCCAAAAAAAUAGUGUAAUCAGCUGAACAUAGUUGCUCACAUUUUGACAAUUCAUUUGGGAGAUACAAGUUACUUUUAACAUACUGUACGACAAGAUCGAAUAAUCAUAGGCUACUAAUUCCCUACAACAACAGCCACAUCAAAGAUGAACUAGCCAAUUAAUUGGGGCUGGAUAAAUAUUGUGAAUGGGGACACACAUCCAGAUGAGCAUCGCCAUGAGCAAUGCAUGGGAUAGGCUGAUACUGUGUGCAUAUCUCUCUUGCUAGAUCAGGUGCCAUUUUUAUUGUUAGCCGCUUUGAGACUCCUUAGGGUAGUGAUAAAGCAGGAUAUCAAAUCCAAACUCUUCU